AGACAUUGGAGUAAGAGGAAGUCCCGUGUCAGAGGGCUCUGUGCACAUUUCCCUGAAAUACCUCAGCUAAGUGUAAAUGUAAUCUGUUAUUUUAACUAAUCAUAACAGUUGCAUUUUGCCCUUUCUUACAUUAAAUUAUAAAAUCAAUAACUUACAAAUACGGCAAAUCUUUAUUUUUCAAAGAUUCCUCUUCCUCCUCCUCCUUUCCAAAUGUUGCGUUUCAUCUUUUCCAAAGACCUCAAAAGCUACUAGAUUAUCAUUAAAAAAUAAACACAUUUUCAAAGGCCAUUAGCCCGAGGGGAGGUCCUGAGUCGUCCAAAGGUUCUCCAGCGGGCAAGCAAGAAAGACAGCACUCCUGCCCCGAUCCGUACACACUGGAGCAUCCAGACUGACUAAUGAACAGCAUUUUCAGUUAAUUGUACCUUUUAAAACUUUCUGCUGUUUACAUCACUGUGACACGUGUAUCCUGAGUACAACUCUUACUAUUAACCCUUUUGAGGCUGGCAGUGGUUUCAGUUUCUUCGUGCUCUUUCGCCUAGUACCCAGAAAAUCUGAAUUAAAUAAAGAAUUCACAUUUGGAUCUUAUUUUAAGUACUCCUCGAAGUUUCAAUUCCCGUUGGAGAUUUUUUAAAGCCUGGAGCAGUGGAGGAGCUAAAAAGAGAAGAGAGGUCAGUUCAAAUCAAUUCAAGAAAUAUUUAUUGAGCGUCUGAAUGUGCCAGAUACAAAAGAUGAAGAUCUUCUUUCAAGAAGCUCACAGUCUGAUGGGGAGAUGACAUGUGGGGGAAUUAGAACAAUAGUCCAGGACUGGAAGAUGAAGCCUGGGAGAGCGGCUGGUGGAGAGGCUUGGAAUGACUCCUGUCCAAACUCAGAGGUUGCUUCAGGAAGAAGAAAAACUUGAGGGAGGACGAUUACUGGACCCAUG
This 922-nucleotide long non-coding RNA is filed under the name Equus asinus (donkey). RNAcentral describes it as "lncRNA (ENSEASG00005031689.1)". The record is from RNAcentral. Lineage: Eukaryota; Metazoa; Chordata; Mammalia; Perissodactyla; Equidae.